This 305-nucleotide ribosomal RNA is filed under the name uncultured bacterium. Its description in RNAcentral is "bacterial SSU rRNA". It matches the Rfam family "Bacterial small subunit ribosomal RNA", at positions 337 to 658 of the family's 1533-position model. The record is from RNAcentral.
UCCCUACGGGACGCAUCAGUGGGGGAUAUUGCACAAUUUAUUAAACUCUGAUGCAGCGACGCCGCGUGAGGGAAGACGGUCUUCGGAUUGUAAACCUCUGUCUUUGGGGAAGAAAAUGACGGUACCCAAAGAGGAAGCUCCGGCUAACUACGUGCCAGCAGCCGCGGUAAUACGUAGGGAGCGAGCGUUGUCCGGAAUUACUGGGUGUAAAGGGAGCGUAGGCGGGAUUGCAAGUUGGAUGUGAAAACUGCGGGCUCAACCCGGAGCGUGCAUUCAAAACUGCGAUUCUUGAGUGAAGUAGAGGG